GAUGAACGCUGGCGGUAUGCUUAACACAUGCAAGUCGAACGGUCACUUCGGUGAUAGUGGCGGACGGGUGAGUAACGCGUGAGAAUCUGUCUUCAGGUCGGGGACAACAGUUAGAAAUGACUGCUAAUACCGGAUGUGCCUUUGGGUGAAAGAUUUAUUGCCUGAAAAAGAGCUCGCGUCAGAUUAGCUAGUAGGUGGUGUAAGAGACUACCUAGGCUCCGAUCUGUAGCUGGUCUGAGAGGACGAUCAGCCACACUGGAACUGAGACACGGUCCAGACUCGGACGGAAGGGAGCAGUGGGGAAUUUACCGGAAGGGGCGAAAGCCUGACAGAGCAAUACCGGGGGAGGGACGAAGCGUUUUGGGUAGUAAACCUCUUUUCUCAAGGAAGAUGAUGACGGUACUUGAGAAAUAAGCAUCGGCUAACUACGUG
Molecule: ribosomal RNA, 432 nt
Filed under: uncultured bacterium
Lineage: Bacteria
Description: partial 16S ribosomal RNA
Rfam family: Bacterial small subunit ribosomal RNA
Source: RNAcentral